AUACGUAGGGGGCGAGCGUUGUCCGGAAUGAUUGGGCGUAAAGGGCGCGUAGGCGGCGCGGUAAGUCUGGAGUGAAAGUCCUGCUUUCAAGGUGGGAAUUGCUUUGGAUACUGCCGCGCUUGAGUGCAGGAGAGGUUAUCGGAAUUCCCGGUGUAGCGGUGAAAUGCGUAGAGAUCGGGAGGAACACCAGUGGCGAAGGCGGUUAACUGGACUGCAACUGACGCUGAGGCGCGAAAGUGUGGGGAGCAAACAGGAUUAGAUACCCUGGUAGUCCACACUGUAAACGAUGAAUGCUAGGUGUAAGAGGUAUCGACCCCUUUUGUGCCGGAGGCAACACAAUAAGCAUUCCGCCUGGGGAGUACGGUCGCAAGGUUGAAACUCAAAUGAAUGGACGGGG
Molecule: ribosomal RNA, 397 nt
Filed under: uncultured bacterium
Lineage: Bacteria
Description: partial 16S ribosomal RNA
Rfam family: Bacterial small subunit ribosomal RNA
Source: RNAcentral